Olea europaea var. sylvestris is the source of this 623-nucleotide long non-coding RNA. RefSeq lists it as uncharacterized. Lineage: Eukaryota; Viridiplantae; Streptophyta; Magnoliopsida; Lamiales; Oleaceae. The transcript is spliced from 3 exons. The record is from RefSeq and is a predicted model, not a curated record.
GGAGGACAAAAGUCGUCUAAAACCCAUUCAUUUUGCAACGCUAUUGGACAGAACAAUUCAUCCCCCUUUCUCUCUUGGACCGAAAAGAACGCCGAAGAAAAAUCGUCUCUGACCGUCGACGGCGAGCACUUGGGUUUUAGGGAUCAAUGACUUCCAGCUAUUAACAAAUCGCCCAUUUUCGAGUAGUUGUUAACGGUCGACGGGGAGCACUUGGGACUUCAGAUCGACGACUUCCAACUAUUCUGCCCAGGAUCUCUACAACUACGACAAAUACCCCUGUUCUUUCUUCCCAUUUUCUUUCAAUUGUCCAGAUAAGAAGCGAUGUCCGGACUGUGGUAAGGGAAUCGUGAAAAUGAUGGAGGCGGAGAGGAAGACUCUAUUUGCCAUUAGAAUGCUGUUUACUAUAUGUAAGAAGGACAUAAUAAGUUGGCACGGAAUAGAUGAUUAAGUUGGCUUGGUAAUAUUUUGUUAAAAUUGAACUUGUGUUCAAUGAUUUUGUUUCAUUUAUGAUGAUCAAUUGUUUGCUUGGUAUUUUUUUGUUAAAGUUGAACGUUCAAGUCAAGAUCAAAGAAUGGUAUCAUUUUUUAUCAUUUGAUCAUGUAAUACAUGAUUAAGUUGGCUUA